CCUACGGGAGGCAGCAGUAAGGAAUAUUGGUCAAUGGACGCAAGUCUGAACCAGCCAUGCCGCGUGAAGGAUGACGGCCCUCUGGGUUGUAAACUUCUUUUAUAGGGGACGAAAAAAGGGCUUUCUAGCUCGUCUGACGGUACCCUAGGAAUAAGCACCGGCUAACUCCGUGCCAGCAGCCGCGGUAAUACGGAGGGUGCAAGCGUUAUCCGGAUUUACUGGGUUUAAAGGGUGCGUAGGUGGGUCGGUAAGUCAGCGGUGAAAUCUUCGAGCUUAACUCGGAAACUGCCAUUGAUACUAUCGAUCUUGAAUCAUCUAGAGGUAAGCGGAAUAUGUCAUGUAGCGGUGAAAUGCUUAGAUAUGACAUAGAACACCAAUUGCGAAGGCAGCUUACUAUGGAUGUAUUGACACUGAGGCACGAAAGCGUGGGGAUCAAACAGGAUUAGAUACCCUGGUAGUCCACGCCCUAAACGAUGGAUACUCGACAUCAGCGAUACACUGUUGGUGUCUGAGCGAAAGCAUUAAGUAUCCCACCUGGGAAGUACGAUCGCAAGAUUGAAACUCAAAGGAAUUGACGG
This 578-nucleotide ribosomal RNA is filed under the name uncultured bacterium. Its description in RNAcentral is "bacterial SSU rRNA". It matches the Rfam family "Bacterial small subunit ribosomal RNA", at positions 338 to 916 of the family's 1533-position model. The record is from RNAcentral.